Molecule: ribosomal RNA, 492 nt
Filed under: uncultured bacterium
Lineage: Bacteria
Description: partial 16S ribosomal RNA
Rfam family: Bacterial small subunit ribosomal RNA
Source: RNAcentral
AGUGAACGCUGGCGGUAGGCCUAACACAUGCAAGUCGAACGGCAGCACAGUAAGAGCUUGCUCUUACGGGUUGCGAGUGGCGGACGGGUGUGGCAUACAUCGGAAUCUACUUUUUCGUGGGGGAUAACGUAGGGAAACUUACGCUAAUACCGCAUACGACCUACGGUUGAAAGUAGGGGAUCUUCUGACCUUGCGCGGUUGAAUGAUGCGAUUUCGGAUUAGCUAGUUGGCGGGGUAAAGACCGACCAAGGAGACGAUCCGUAGCUGGUGUGAGGGGAUGAUCAGCCGCACUGGAACGACGACACGGUCACGACGACACCGGGGGGCGGCAGUGGGGAAUAUUGGACAAUGGGGGCAAGCAUGAUCCAGCCAUACCGCGUGGUGGAAGAUGGCCUUCGGGUUGUAAAGACCUUUUGUUGGGAAAGAAAAGCAGCAGGUUAAUACCCCGCUGUUCUGACGGUACCCAAAGAAUAAGCACCGGCUAACUUCGUG